Anolis carolinensis (green anole) is the source of this 897-nucleotide long non-coding RNA. RefSeq lists it as uncharacterized. The record is from RefSeq and is a predicted model, not a curated record. The transcript is spliced from 3 exons. NCBI's taxonomy places the organism in Eukaryota, Metazoa, Chordata, Lepidosauria, Squamata, Anolidae.
GAACAUGCUAGCUCAAUUUUGUAAAUGAGAAUAGGAAGCAAGGAAUGAAAUGCUGCAUUCUGACCCACUUGUAGCACCACAUGGGCAUGGCUUGGUCUUUGGGGUUUUGUAUAUUGCUUCGCUGCAAAGGUUAUGACACUUGCCACUUGGGCACAAAACAAUAAAAAGUGUUGCUGCUGCAGUGUUAACUGCGGUGUCUUCCAUCACAUUGGUGACUGCAUCCUGUCGCCUAGCAACUACACGGCAGAUUUUUUUCCUCGGGAAGGAUUCCUUGGCAUCACCUGAGCGGAGAGAUUGCAGAAGGAAAGGAGGAUGAGGUGGAAACCUAUGGGUGAAUAUACAGGAUGCUCUCAUAAUUACUACAAUGUAGGUAAAACUGACAGUCCAGAGAAAAUGUGGAAGACGCUGUGUGCCAUGUCAAUUCAGCUGUUCUCUGAGUCAGAACCCGGCAUGCAAAAGAUCUUUACGUGCUUCUUCUCCCUCUGUGUGCUGGCAACCAUCACUUUUUAACAGCCCAGAGAAAUAUGGAAUGCAGAUUGAAAAAGAGCUCUGAUUGUUUCAUUCUGCCAGGAGCUCAGAGACAAUCAUUACUCUUCUGGAAACAAAAGCUGGAGGUAUGUGAUAUCAAGGACUUACAGAAAACCAAAACUGAUUAAAAACACAGAUGAAACUAUUAAAGAAUGCAAUAACAAAAAUGAUAUUUGUAAUCUAUAAGAAUGACAAAUAAAUAGGAAUAUAUGUUGAACUUAACAAAAUGAGACACCACAGCUUACACCCAGUGAGGCAACAUGCAUGAAAUGUAGGGUACAGCUACAUUAUAGAAUUAAUGCAGUUUGACACCACUUUAACUGCCAUAUAUUCUCCAUCUCAAAUCCUUAUCUAUCCUUGCUGCAGCCU